GCUCUUCGAAAAUAAAACAUUGAGUAAAAGUUGUGCUUAUACCAAUUAAAUUCUGAUAAAGACAUACGUCGUCGUUUGCUUUGUGAAUUUGAAAAACUAAAAACCCUUGGUUUCAGAAUCUUCCCCUUCAGGAAUUCUAGAUGAAGUUUUAACUUCCCCAAUUUUCCGUCAAAAACUUCUCGGAAUCGUUGGUCACAAAAACAAGUUGAACUUCCUGUGAAGAACUUCUACUCAAGAGCUCUGUCAGCAUUUGUUUCUUUAUCCCCAACCUCAAGAGAUCAGAGUAUUACAGAAUGAACAUGUUCCAAUUCCUCGUGCUCAGUUCUAUCGUUCCAAUUAUGGCUGCAGUCCUACGUCGAAACGUUACAAACCCAGACCUCAUCGAGGAUUGCCUUGUGGCGGUGAGCGUCAUAUUGGUUUGGAUAGGGACGCUGUGGAGUGUUCUCCAUAGGGCGAGUGGGUGUGUGAGUUGUCUGAUCGGGGGAAUUUCUUCUAUUGUGGGACUAUCCGUCGGGAUUUUCCAACUGCAGAUGGUGGUACGAGAGGGGAAUGAUAAGGAUACGCUUGUGUCUGAAUUUAUUUCUCUUAUCAUUGGUGCUGUAAUUGGUUUGUAUUACCACGGACGACUGGAAGUACUCGUUCGUCCCUCCACCUGGGUUUUCAUCACCAUAUACCUCCUAUUCGUGCGGUGUUGCAGGAGUUGAGAGUGCUACCGUGAUAUUAAUAGAAUUAGAAAAUAGGAUUCUAUUGUAAACGUAGAGACAUAUGACUAUUGACUCUAAAUUUUGACUCGGAUAUGAUUGUUUGUUUUGACACAAUUGCAAAUUUUUCAUAUGAAUCCUUUAUGAGCAUGAGUUUGUUUUUUCAUUGCAAUUACUAAUUUUUUAGUGCUUAACCAAUGGAAGGUCUUGUGGUAGAAAAAUGUAAAUGGUCACUAUUGGGACUGAUUGAUGCAGAAAAUAAGAGAGCCUGCUGUCAAUCUAAUCUGGCUGGUGAUUCCAACCAAAUAGAGGAGAUUGUUGUAGAUUAUGACUACCUUGUGGUUUCCAUUCAAAGAGAUUUGUCUUACUAUAGAAAUUGGGACCCUUUCUGCAUACUGUAAUCAAUUUGGACUGCACAUCACAUCAGUAGCUUCUCCCAACAUUAGUAAAAGCGAUUGUGAUUCCAUUAACCAUGGAUCGGAGUAGAAACACGAUCACAAUUUUUUGGUGCAUGAACGAACUUCAUGAAAUACAGAUAUUUCAUCCUUUGAAGCUGUUAUCCCUUUUCUUGUUAUUGUUAACUUGGAUUUGGAACUGUAUGUUCUGCAGGAAAUAGAAGAUGCUCAGAAGAUCGUAUUGUUGAUUGUUUUGAGAGGGCAAGUUUGCCUAGUCUAAGUGAUGAAGAAAAAAUAAAAAAAUCUUCAUUUUUUCGUUGUUGGUGGAGGUCCAACUGGUGUGGAGUUUGCAGCAGAGCUUCAUGAAUAUGUUAAUGAAGAUCUAGUCAAAUUAUAUCCCAAGGUUAAAGAUUCCGUUAAAGUAACACUUGUUGAAGCUACAGACCAUAUUCUGAACAUAUUUUUGAAGUAGAAUUCUUGUAAAUAUGGUACUCUGCUUCAAUAUUUUGAUUAGUAUAGUGAUCUGCAUAACAUUUUAAGUAGAUGCCUUUAGCCACCCAAAUAUGCGUGUAUUGGCCUACUGUAGGAUACAUCUGGGAAAAUUUUCAAGUUAAAACUCUAAUUUCAUUCUCUACCAAAGGUAGUUGAAAAGUACUAUAUUCCUUUCAACUUGUAGUUAAUUGAUAUAGGUAUCACUAUCUUGGAACUUCAUUGUUCGAGAUAUCCAUGAUGCCCUAAUACAUGAGUUCAUUGCCCUGAUGAAAUGCAUAUCUUGUACGGGCUCAUAAAUAGACUAUGCAGUAUUAUUUAUGGAUAGAAACAGUUUUUUGUUCAUUAACAAGCUUGCCUGUACCAGUAGAACUUUUACCAGUACCCAGGCAGAGUUGGUUAACAGAGCAGGUCUUGUUGAGGUUCGUUGACUCUCUUUUUUCGUGCCACCCACACUUAGCUUGCUUUCGUAUGUAAUAUCUGGGUUUCUCGUAAGCAUAGAUAUAUACUUGUGGAGGAGAUGAAUCAUUGGCUCAAGAUGAAAAAUUCAGAGAGAUGAAAUUGUUUUAAAAACUGGGGCAAUGGUUGUGAAGGUAACAUAAAGAAAUUUCCCCUAAACAAGUUAAGAAUGGCGGUGAAAUAUGUAUGGCAUGAUUGUGUGGUCAACUGGAAUUGGAACUCGCCCUCUUAUAAAUGGAGUUGGUGAAGCAAGUUGGUCAGGUAGAAACACAGAGGCCUAUGAAGCUUUAUUUAGGCUUUGUCUAUUAUUGUAUUUGCUGAUUUUUUUUCAUGGUUUAUUACUCCAAAGGUAGAAGUUUAAGACUUGGUCUUUUUUGUAAUAGACGUGUACUAGCAACUGAUGAGUGGCUACGAGUAACAUUAAUGCACUAGGAGACUGUGCGACAAUCAAUCAGUGCAAAGUCAUGGCAUGAUUUCUUAACUAAGAAUCUUACUUCUCAUUCUUAAUGGGAACCUUGAUUUGUUAGUUUGUCAUAAAAUCCUUCCUUUUUUUACACUGGGUAGUAGGAAGGUGAUUUUUGGCUUCUAGUGUGCUACUGGACUAGUAAAAAGGAAUCGCCAUCAAUAUGAAGAUAUACCGGACUAUUGUAUGCUUAAAAAUUCCUUUCCUAGAUAGUUUUGCUGCUGAAAGAGCAACUUACAGCAAAUUUAUGGUAUAUGUUGCUUCAGAUCUCAUAAUCUGAUUUUGAGCUCAGGUCUGCAUUGUUAUACUAAAAGUACCAUACACUUGCACACGCAGAAACAAAAUUGAGUUUAAGUUUGUGGAUGUUUGUCUAAAGAAACAAGCUGCACUAACUAUUUGAAACUCUUUCUCUGAAUGAUGUUUUGCAGGCUGUGAUAUUCAUAUUUAGCAAUCAGUUUUAGAUACCAUUCUGUUUCAGAUUAAUUCCUGAUGAAAGUUAAACCCCAUUCCUUAUCACGUGAGGAAGAUAUUUGGGCUAUAUUUCAAAAAGCAGAUAACGACAACCCCAAGACACGGUGAAUGUUGAAGAGUUGAAGGCAGCUCUCGAUUCUCAGAUGAAGAAUCUUCCAGCAACUGCCCAGGUUGUCUAUAUGAUGAUACAUCCUGGUGGAUUUGAUCUCUCCUUGUAUGAUGGCAUUCUGACACCCAAUUCAUGGCAUUACAGGUUACAGCACAGCAAUGUUCAUAUCUUGCUGACUGUUUCAAGUUUCAACUAAAUGGAAUUCUACAAGGAAAAUCUCUUUUGCAGUUCAGGGGUGAAGGACGUCAUAGGUUUUGUCCUUUCAGCAAGCUAGUAAGUUGGCGUACAAGAACGCUGGUGAUAUCAGACUGGCGGAGGCGUUUCAUCUUUGGCAGCGACUCUAGUGGCAUCUAACGAGUCAGAAUGAUCAAACUCUUGUCCCAAUAGUGGUGCUCCUUUUCUAUAUUUGGUUAAUCAUGCAUACAUCUCCAGUCAUCUCUAUCAUUUAGGCGGAUGUCAGACGAAUACUUUUGCCGCUGAAAACUAGGUUACACUUAUCCCUUAAUGCCAAAUUUUGCAGCUAGAUAUGAGAUACAAUAGCUUCUUUGUUUGAGAAAUAAUGAUUUUAUUCCGUCCAUAUAUACAUAUACGUAGGUACAUGAAUUUCUGGUGUUUUAUGCAAACAUUUGAACAAUGUUUGUCUGUUGGUAUAUUGUUUUAAUGUUGUGUAAGCAUGAGCCAGAAUCAUGUUGUUAAAAUGCUCGUGGUUUUCUCGAGUUAAGUUAAGAGAUUGAAU
Salvia miltiorrhiza (redroot sage) is the source of this 3823-nucleotide long non-coding RNA. RefSeq lists it as uncharacterized. The record is from RefSeq and is a predicted model, not a curated record. Lineage: Eukaryota; Viridiplantae; Streptophyta; Magnoliopsida; Lamiales; Lamiaceae. The transcript has 3 exons.